Non-coding RNA from Coemansia reversa NRRL 1564, 71 nucleotides. The record is from the annotation of a GenBank genome assembly. Lineage: Eukaryota; Fungi; Kickxellomycota; Kickxellomycetes; Kickxellales; Kickxellaceae.
GGGUCCGUGGUCUAGAGGCAUGAUUCUACGUUUGGGACGUAGCGACCCGGGUUCGAAUCCCGGCGGACCCC